RNAcentral lists this ribosomal RNA (253 nucleotides) under uncultured bacterium. RNAcentral's name for it is "partial 16S ribosomal RNA". It matches the Rfam family "Bacterial small subunit ribosomal RNA", at positions 524 to 776 of the family's 1533-position model. The record is from RNAcentral.
UACGUAGGGGGCUAGCGUUGUCCGGAAUCAUUGGGCGUAAAGCGCGUGUAGGCGGUCCGGUAAGUCCGCUGUGAAAGCCCGGGGCUUAACCCCGGGUCGGCAGUGGAUACGGGCAGGCUAGAGGUAGGUAGGGGAGAAUGGAAUUCCCGGUGUAGCGGUGAAAUGCGCAGAUAUCGGGAGGAACACCGGUGGCGAAGGCGGUUCUCUGGGCCUUACCUGACGCUGAGGAGCGAAAGCGUGGGGAGCGAACAGG